RNAcentral lists this non-coding RNA (80 nucleotides) under Sorex araneus (European shrew). The record is from RNAcentral. Lineage: Eukaryota; Metazoa; Chordata; Mammalia; Eulipotyphla; Soricidae.
GUGCUAUGAGAAGGUUAGCACUCCCUUGACAAGGAUGGAAGAGGCUUCGGCCUGCAACACGCAUGCGCUUAACAGUUUUU